This 301-nucleotide ribosomal RNA is filed under the name uncultured bacterium. RNAcentral describes it as "partial 16S ribosomal RNA". It matches the Rfam family "Bacterial small subunit ribosomal RNA", at positions 509 to 807 of the family's 1533-position model. The record is from RNAcentral.
CAGUCGCCGCGGUAAUACGUAGGGUGCGAGCGUUAAUCGGAAUUACUGGGCGUAAAGCGUGCGCAGGCGGUUCGUUAAGACAGAUGUGAAAUCCCCGGGCUUAACCUGGGAACUGCAUUUGUGACUGGCGAGCUAGAGUAUGGCAGAGGGGGGUAGAAUUCCACGUGUAGCAGUGAAAUGCGUAGAGAUGUGGGGGAAUACCGAUGGCGAAGGCAGCCCCCUGGGCCAAUACUGACGCUCAUGCACGAAAGCGUGGGGAGCGAACAGGAUUAGAUACCCCGGUAGUCCCUGUCUCUUAUAC